This 309-nucleotide ribosomal RNA is filed under the name Triticum aestivum (bread wheat). Its description in RNAcentral is "partial small subunit ribosomal RNA". Lineage: Eukaryota; Viridiplantae; Streptophyta; Magnoliopsida; Poales; Poaceae. The record is from RNAcentral.
AUGCCCAAACCUCUCCUCGUCAGCAACUCAGAGGAACCCUUGCGCCGCCACCGCCCCAUUCCCUCCGGCACACAGUCCCUCGCGGCAGCGUCCUCGGCCUUCCCCAUCAUCCAAGGUGGAACGGCGCCUCCGUCAUCAUCCAGCCACCAUCGCCGUCCUUUUGCCUUUCCCCUGACGGCCCGACUGGGAGGGGCUCGGCCCCGUUGUGGUGUGGAGCUACAUCCUCAGGCUUCUGGCGGACCAUGCAAUGGCGUUCAAAUAUUAAUUUCUUCGGUAUGGGAUUUAUGGGAGUUCUCAUCUAAUCUUUGA